AGAGUUUGAUCCUGGCUCAGGACGAACGCUGGCGGCGUGCUUAACACAUGCAAGUCGAGCGGUAAGGGCCCCUUCGGGGGUACACGAGCGGCGAACGGGUGAGUAACACGUGGGUAACCUGCCCUCAGCUCUGGGAUAAGCCUGGGAAACUGGGUCUAAUACCGGAUAUGACUCUGCCUCGCAUGGGGUGGGGUGGAAAGUUUUUUCGGCUGGGGAUGGGCCCGCGGCCUAUCAGCUUGUUGGUGGGGUGAUGGCCUACCAAGGCGACGACGGGUAGCCGGCCUGAGAGGGCGACCGGCCACACUGGGACUGAGAUACGGCCCAGACUCCUACGGGAGGCAGCAGUGGGGAAUAUUGCGCAAUGGGCGAAAGCCUGACGCAGCGACGCCGCGUGGGGGAUGACGGCCUUCGGGUUGUAAACCUCUUUCGACCGGGACGAAGCGUGAGUGACGGUACCGGUAGAAGAAGCACCGGCCAACUACGUG
Molecule: ribosomal RNA, 485 nt
Filed under: uncultured Pseudonocardia sp.
Lineage: Bacteria; Bacillati; Actinomycetota; Actinomycetes; Pseudonocardiales; Pseudonocardiaceae
Description: bacterial SSU rRNA
Rfam family: Bacterial small subunit ribosomal RNA
Source: RNAcentral